UCCACGCGUGCGCAGGUUUAUAAUACACACCGGGACGCUGUCAUUAAUCGACGGCAGGAACGUGUUGAUGCUACAAGGUGUGCAGGUGGGAAAGUCCCACAGUAUCACGCUGUCGACAGGAGAAAGACAGAGAGAGAGAAAGAGUUGGCAGCGGGAUUGACUCCCCGUAUCGAGGCAGCCCCACUGGCUCACCGUCGCACACACACACACACACACACGCACACACACACACACACAUGCACACACCCUCAGAUCACAGACCGAGCUUUCAUGCUUCAACACAGAUCUGCUCCCAACCGUGGAGGAAACUGUGCACAGAUAUGAGAUAGCGGUUGUUAUAAAUAAAUCACAAAUUCAGCUCCUGGUUGGAAUAUAGCUAGAGUUUGGUUAUUUCCUUCUCUUUAGUAAUAAAUAAAGACAAUAUUCACAGGAAUUCUUUUUUUUAACAUAAAUGUUCGCAGGGUCGAGAGGAUGAGACAUGCCACCUUGACUUCCAUUGUUUAAUAAGACGUGUCAACAAGACCACAAUCCUCAAACCGUCAGGAGGGGUAACUUAAUCUUUAUCGCUCUGACCUCCCGUUUUAUACGGCCGCUAAAGUUGCAGGGCAGGACUUAAAAGGUCAGACUUUAUUUGACCGCAAUUGUGCUUCUACACUCACAGCAUUCAGGAGGGAGGCUUUGAAGUUUCAACGCGCGCAUCAGGGUCUACGAUCUGCCUCUCGACGUAAUGGUGUCCAUAAAGAAAGACAACACCGAUCUCGUCUAGACACAGGUUCAACGCGCCGGCUGACAUCUCCGACCAGCACACAGCGGAGCAGAUGCUCCAGGACCAUUCAGCUCCGUUUCCUUUUUGUCUCCUAUUCCGCGCAGGUACUUUAGGGUCGAAACAAACGACCCU
Mugil cephalus (flathead mullet) is the source of this 898-nucleotide long non-coding RNA. RefSeq lists it as uncharacterized. The transcript is spliced from 3 exons. Lineage: Eukaryota; Metazoa; Chordata; Actinopteri; Mugiliformes; Mugilidae. The record is from RefSeq and is a predicted model, not a curated record.